AAACUAGGGAUAGAUAACCUAUUAUUUUAAAUUUAAAUUUAUUAAUACUAAAUUAUUGAAAGUUAUGUUCUUUAAAAUUAAAAAAUUUGGCGGUAUUUUAGUCUUUUCAGAGGAACCUGUCCUGUAAUUGAUAGUCCACGAUUAUAAAAACUUUAUUUAUUAAUUUAUAUAUCAUUGUAGUUUGAAUAUUUUAUUAGAAUUAUAAUAUUCAAGAUUUUUUAUUAGAAAAUAAAUCAGAUCAAGGUGUAGUUUAUAGUAAAGUAGAGAUGGGUUACAUUAAAUUUAUUUGAAGAUUAUUUUUUUUAAAAAAAUUUGAAUAUGGAUUUGAUAGUAAUUAUAUAAAUUUAUUUAUAGUGGAUUUAAGCUCUAAAAUAUGUACAUAUCGCCCGUCGCUUUCACUUUAAGGUGAAAUAAGCG
RNAcentral lists this ribosomal RNA (417 nucleotides) under Callosobruchus maculatus (cowpea weevil). RNAcentral describes it as "partial small subunit ribosomal RNA". The record is from RNAcentral. Lineage: Eukaryota; Metazoa; Arthropoda; Insecta; Coleoptera; Chrysomelidae.